Non-coding RNA from Papilio machaon (common yellow swallowtail), 73 nucleotides. The record is from Rfam. NCBI's taxonomy places the organism in Eukaryota, Metazoa, Arthropoda, Insecta, Lepidoptera, Papilionidae.
GUCUCUGUGGCGCAGUGGAUAGCGCGUUGGACUUCUAAUCCAAAGGUCGUGGGUUCGAUCCCCACCAGAGAUG